RNAcentral lists this ribosomal RNA (220 nucleotides) under Salmonella enterica subsp. enterica serovar Give. Its description in RNAcentral is "partial 16S ribosomal RNA". It matches the Rfam family "Bacterial small subunit ribosomal RNA", at positions 1 to 217 of the family's 1533-position model. Lineage: Bacteria; Pseudomonadati; Pseudomonadota; Gammaproteobacteria; Enterobacterales; Enterobacteriaceae. The record is from RNAcentral.
AAAUUGAAGAGUUUGAUCAUGGCUCAGAUUGAACGCUGGCGGCAGGCCUAACACAUGCAAGUCGAACGGUAACAGGAAGCAGCUUGCUGCUUUGCUGACGAGUGGCGGACGGGUGAGUAAUGUCUGGGAAACUGCCUGAUGGAGGGGGGUAACUACUGGAAACGGUGGCUAAUACCGCAUAACGUCGCAAGACCAAAGAGGGGGACCUUCGGGCCUCUUG